This 548-nucleotide ribosomal RNA is filed under the name Drilliola reevii. Its description in RNAcentral is "partial 12S ribosomal RNA". Lineage: Eukaryota; Metazoa; Mollusca; Gastropoda; Neogastropoda; Conidae. The record is from RNAcentral.
AACUAAAAAAUUAAGUUAUAUUAGUACGAUAAAAAGACAGUUAAACAAUAUUACUCAAGUCUAUUGAUUAUUUAUAAAGGGGUAUAAUUUAUAUAUAAAUACAAUAAUUUAAUAAUGACUUAGAUGUUGAAUCUGUGAAAGCUUUGAGGGAAACUGGGAUUGGAUACCCCACUAUUCUCAGCUAUAAACUGAAUAAUAUAUUUUAUCGGAGUACUAUGAAUACAAAAUUUAAAACUCAAAGGGCUUGGCGGUGUUUUAGACCACUCAGGGGAACCUGUCUCGUAAUCGACAAUCCACGCUAUACCUGACCUUUUUUUGUAAUACAGUUUGUAUACCGUCGUCGUCAGGUAACUUUAAAAAAAUUAUAAAAGUUAGCAAGAAAAUAUAUAAAUUAAAACGUCAGAUCAGGGUGCAACUUAUAAAAAGGAGAGGAUGGGUUACAAUUAUAUAUUUAUAAUUACGAAAAAUUACACUAAUGUAUAAUUAGAAGGAGGACUUGAAAGUAAAUUUUAAUAUAUAAAAAAUUUGAAUAAGGCUCUGAAACGUGC